Molecule: RNA transcript, 823 nt
Organism: Microcebus murinus (gray mouse lemur)
Lineage: Eukaryota; Metazoa; Chordata; Mammalia; Primates; Cheirogaleidae
Gene: C18H17orf67
Gene name: chromosome 18 C17orf67 homolog
Source: RefSeq, a predicted model, not a curated record
GAGAGAGGAACCAAGGCAGGAUGAAGACAUUGCUUGUGCUUGUGCUGUCUCUCACCUUGCUGACUUCCUUUCCAGAGGCUUCCCCGAUUCUGAAGGAAAAGGAGGCCAAACAGCUCCUGAGAUCCCGGCGACAGGACCGGCCCAGCAAACCCGGAUUCCCCGACGAGCCAAUGCGGGAGUACAUGCACUACCUGCUCGCCCUGGAGCACCGCGCGGAGGAGCAGUUCCUGGAGCACUGGCUGAACCCUCACUGCAAACCCCACUGCGACAGGAACAGAGUCCACCCCGUGUAAGGGGCUUGGGACCAGCCAUGAUCCUGGAUAGGGGAGGGAUUUGGCCCUAUUUGCCAUUCAGAGAAGAUCAGUCUGGAAUCCAAAUCUGGAGACACGUGGCUUGUUGAGACUUGGGUCUCCCCAGCAAGCAUUUUAUAUGCAAUGACCUGAAUAAUGUUGAAACAAGACACGUCUCCUUCUUUUGUUUGUUGUUAAACUGUGGAAAUGGAUGUCUUCAGAUCUUGUGAAUGCUGGGUGUGCCACAGUUUGCCUCGGGGAUGAGGCAAAAUAUAUAUCCUGCUUCAUUUUACUAACCUGCAUAAAUCAUUAAAACUAAUAGCUUAAGCUAUAGACUCCUCAAAGAUCUUUCUACCAGUUUGUACGGGUGGACAGAACAAGCACCUUACAUGGGCUGAUGGAGCUGGAGCCUCCAGACCCGGCGUUUGGGGCAGGCUGCCUGUCCUAAGGAAUUGGGGAAGUCUUGUUCAGAGCAGUGAAGCACACCAUUUGGGGCUCCUGAGAUUUUUAUCAUCUAUUUCUUUUUCCUCUUC